GAGCACGUAGGUGGGUUUGUAAGUCAGGUGUGAAAGCCUUCUGUUCAAAGGAAGAACGGCAUCUGAAACUGCAGAUCUUGAGUGUAGGAGGGGAGAGUGGAACUUCUGGUGGAGCGGUGAAAUGCGUAGAUAUCAGAAGGAACGUCGGCGGCGAAAGCGACUCUCUGGCCUAUUACUGACACUGAGGUGCGAAAGUUAGGGGAGCAAACGGGAUUAGAUACCCCGGUAGUCCUAACCGUAAACGAUGGGCACUAAGUAGAGGGAAUUACCAAUGUUCUCUCUGCCGUAGCUAACGCAUUAAGUGCCCCGCCUGGGGAGUACGGCCGCAGGGCUAAAACUCAAAAGAAUUGACGGGGGCUCGCACAAGCGGUGGAGCAUGUGGCUUAAUUCGAUGCAACGCGAAAAACCUUACCGGGGUUUGACAUGGUAGAAGUAGGAGCCCGAAAGGGUAACCAACGGUAUCCAGUCCGUAACUAUCACAGGUGUUGCAUGGCUGUCGUCAGCUCGUGUCGUGAGACGUUGGGUUAAGUCCCCUAACGAGCGAAACCCUUGUUUUUAGUUACCAUCGGGUUAUGCCGGGUACUCUAGAAAGACUGCCGUCGUCAAGACGGAGGAAGGUGGGGAUGACGUCAAGUCAUCAUGGCCCUUAUACCCCGGGCUGCACACGUGCUACAAUGGUCGGUACAAAAGGAAGCAAGACCGAGAGGUGAAGCGAAUCC
RNAcentral lists this ribosomal RNA (719 nucleotides) under uncultured Planctomycetota bacterium. RNAcentral's name for it is "bacterial SSU rRNA". It matches the Rfam family "Bacterial small subunit ribosomal RNA", at positions 565 to 1274 of the family's 1533-position model. The record is from RNAcentral. Lineage: Bacteria; Pseudomonadati; Planctomycetota.